Molecule: ribosomal RNA, 531 nt
Filed under: uncultured Planctomycetota bacterium
Lineage: Bacteria; Pseudomonadati; Planctomycetota
Description: bacterial SSU rRNA
Rfam family: Bacterial small subunit ribosomal RNA
Source: RNAcentral
GGGAGAGUAACGCGUGGAUAUGUACCCUUGGAUCUGGGAUAGCGGCGGGAAACUGCCGGUAAUACCAGAUAACGUCUCCGGACCAAAGGUGUGAUUCCGUCCGAGGAGCAGUCCGCGUGCUAUUAGCUAGUUGGUGAGGUAAUGGCUCACCAAGGCAAAGAUGGCUAGCGGGUGUGAGAGCAUGGCCCGCCUCAUUGGGACUGAGACACUGCCCAGACACCUACGGGUGGCUGCAGUCGAGAAUCUUCGGCAAUGGGCGCAAGCCUGACCGAGCGACGCCGCGUGCGGGACGAAGGCCUUCGGGUUGUAAACCGCUGUCAGAGGGGCGGAAAUGCAUUGGGGUUCUCCCCAGUGUUUGACUUAACCUCAGAGGAAGCACGGGCUAAGUUCGUGCCAGCAGCCGCGGUAAGACGAACCGUGCAAACGUUAUUCGGAAUCACUGGGCUUAAAGCGUGCGUAGGCGGCUCAGAAAGUUGGGUGUGAAAUGCCUCGGCUCAACCGAGGAAUUGCGCUCAAAACUACUGAGCUUGA